Molecule: ribosomal RNA, 1317 nt
Filed under: metagenome
Description: bacterial SSU rRNA
Rfam family: Bacterial small subunit ribosomal RNA
Source: RNAcentral
UAAUACCGCAUAAGACCACGGGAUCACAUGGUUCUGGGGUAAAAGAUUUAUCGGUUUGGGGUGGGCUCGCGUCCGAUUAGGUAGUUGGUGAGGUAACGGCCCACCAAGCCGACGAUCGGUAGCCGACCUGAGAGGGUGAUCGGCCACAUUGGGACUGAGACACGGCCCAAACUCCUACGGGAGGCAGCAGUGGGAAUAUUGGGCAAUGGAGGAAACUCUGACCCAGCAACGCCGCGUGGAGGAAGAAGGUUUUCGGAUCGUAAACUCCUGUCCUUGGAGACGAGUAGAAGACGGUAUCCAAGGAGGAAGCCCCGGCUAACUACGUGCCAGCAGCCGCGGUAAUACGUAGGGGGCAAGCGUUGUCCGGAAUAAUUGGGCGUAAAGGGCGCGUAGGCGGCUCGGUAAGUCUGGAGUGAAAGUCCUGCUUUUAAGGUGGGAAUUGCUUUGGAUACUGUCGGGCUUGAGUGCAGGAGAGGUUAGUGGAAUCCCCAGUGUAGCGGUGAAAUGCGUAGAGAUUGGGAGGAACACCAGUGGCGAAGGCGACUAACUGGACUGUAACUGACGCUGAGGCGCGAAAGUGUGGGGAGCAAACAGGAUUAGAUACCCUGGUAGUCCACACUGUAAACGAUGAAUGCUAGGUGUAGGGGGUAUCGACCCCUUCUGUGCCGCAGUCAACACAAUAAGCAUUCCGCCUGGGGAGUACGGCCGCAAGGUUGAAACUCAAAGGAAUUGACGGGGGCCCGCACAAGCAGCGGAGCAUGUGGUUUAAUUCGACGCAACGCGAAGAACCUUACCAGGUCUUGACAUCCACUUAAACUUACAGAGAUGUAAGGUGUGCUUGCACAAAGUGAGACAGGUGGUGCAUGGUUGUCGUCAGCUCGUGUCGUGAGAUGUUGGGUUAAGUCCCGCAACGAGCGCAACCCUUAUCUUCAGUUACUAACGCGUGAGGGUGAGGACUCUGAAGAGACUGCCGGGGACAACUCGGAGGAAGGUGGGGACGACGUCAAAUCAUCAUGCCCCUUAUGACCUGGGCUACACGCGUGCUACAAUGGCCACGACAGAGAGAAGCGAAAUCGCAAGGUAGAGCGGAACUCAAAAAAGUGGUCCCAGUUCGGAUUGUGGGCUGCAACCCGCCCACAUGAAGUCGGAGUUGCUAGUAAUCGCGGAUCAGCAUGCCGCGGUGAAUACGUUCCCGGGCCUUGUACACACCGCCCGUCACACCAUGGGAGUUGGGAGUGCCCAAAGCCGGUGAGGCAACCGCAAGGAGCCAGCCGUCUAAGGCAAGACCAAUGACUGGGGUGAAGUCGGAACAAGGUA